UUUCAUCUUCUAAUGAACUCCGUUGUUAUGAUGAAGUCCUUAGGACUAUUUAAGUUUGAUAAAGAGAGGAUUUAUUGAUUAGUCCUUAAAACUGUUCAUGACCAAAUGAUAAGUUGUUAAUAAGGUCGAUAGCUUCUAUCAAGCAUAGGUCGCUGUAGGCCAUAUGGGUUGGUUGUCCUCUUAACCAAGGAGUGUGGAGACACUGGUAUGGCAUACAGGUGAAAUGUAAGGGUACAUCAUCAUUGAACGUGACCAACUCCAGAGUAUUCUGCUGUCGAGAAUGUCUCUGAUGGGAUAUAGGUAUAAGUAUCCCUAAGACUUGAGAUCGCCUCAGUGACUUGCA
This 343-nucleotide long non-coding RNA is filed under the name Elaeis guineensis (African oil palm). Its description in RNAcentral is "long non-coding RNA (EGUI_LNC063798)". The record is from RNAcentral. Lineage: Eukaryota; Viridiplantae; Streptophyta; Magnoliopsida; Arecales; Arecaceae.